This 305-nucleotide ribosomal RNA is filed under the name uncultured bacterium. RNAcentral describes it as "bacterial SSU rRNA". It matches the Rfam family "Bacterial small subunit ribosomal RNA", at positions 338 to 642 of the family's 1533-position model. The record is from RNAcentral.
CCUACGGGGGGCAGCAGUGAGGAAUAUUGGUCAAUGGGCGAGAGCCUGAACCAGCCAAGUCGCGUGAGGGAGUACUGCCCUAUGGGUUGUAAACCUCUUUUGUCGGGGAGCAAAAGCCGGACGUGUCCGUCUGUGAGAGUACCCGAAGAAAAAGCAUCGGCUAACUCCGUGCCAGCAGCCGCGGUAAUACGGAGGAUGCGAGCGUUAUCCGGAUUUAUUGGGUUUAAAGGGUGCGCAGGCGGAAGAUCAAGUCAGCGGUAAAAUUGAGAGGCUCAACCUCUUCGAGCCGUUGAAACUGGUUUUCU